GACGAACGCUGGCGGCGUGCUUAACACAUGCAAGUCGAACGGAAAGGCCUCUUUCGGGGGGUACUCGAGUGGCGAACGGGUGAGUAACACGUGAGUAACCUGCCCUUGACUUUGGGAUAACUUCAGGCAACUGGGGCUAAUACCGGAUAGGAGCUCCUGCUGCAUGGUGGGGGUUGGAAAGUUUCGGCGGUUGGGGAUGGAUUCGCGGCUUGUGAGCGUGUUGGUGGGGUAGUGGCUUACCAAGGCUUUAACGGGUAGCCGGCCUGAGGGGGUGACGGGCCACUUUGGGACUGGGAUGGGGCCCAAACUCCGAGGGGAGGCAGCAGUGGGAAUAUUGCACAAUGGGUGGAAGCCUGAUGCAGCAACGCCGUGUGCGGGAUGACGGCCUUCGGGUUGUAAACCGCUUUCGCUCAUGACGAAGCUUUGUGUGACGGUAGUGGGUAAAGAAGCACCGGCUAACUACGUG
This 466-nucleotide ribosomal RNA is filed under the name uncultured bacterium. RNAcentral's name for it is "partial 16S ribosomal RNA". It matches the Rfam family "Bacterial small subunit ribosomal RNA", at positions 28 to 507 of the family's 1533-position model. The record is from RNAcentral.